GAUAUUCUAUUACAAACGAAAUAUCUCGCCAUCAUUGUAAAUUUCUCUAUACUAUUUUCUCAGUCGUUUCACAAGCACGUCGUCGAAAUUGCGUAGUUGAAAAACUUGGCUCCGUGGGAAAUCUAUUAUUGAAAGCAAUCUGAAAAUUAUUAUAUUUGUAUAGCAAUAAUUGUUAUGCAUACUUGCAAAUAAAUUAAAUUAUGUAAUCUUUUAUUUUAUGCAAGCAAGGUUUCGUGGGAGUGAAGUCUGAGGAUGAUUCAAGAUUAUAUACGCAUCAAGUAAUAGGACGUAUUAGUUAUGUAAUCUAGGUUGAUUGAUACGGAAGAGUCAAGUCGUUGAAAGUAAAGCUAGUGAGUGACAUCAUCGGUCUUGGUAAUUGGCUUUUGUUAAGUCUUUGUUGCAGUAAUCGCAUUAAAAAUAUGCCACGAAUAGUUCCUCUGCAGCUCCUAAAGUGCCUGAAGGUGCUGCUGGAUGACAAUGGGGGCAUCCUAAGCAUAGGAGAAGUAAAACGGAUCGCAGGGUGAGUUACCAUAAAAUUGCUGAGUUUCGAAAAUUUUUCCUUUGAAUUAUCUGCAAUCAUGAACAUACGUACCAUGAACGAAAGACGCAAGAUCACGCGGGAAGGAAAAACGAAAAAAGUUAUUUUCUAGCUGCC
Long non-coding RNA from Rhagoletis pomonella (apple maggot), 655 nucleotides. RefSeq lists it as uncharacterized. The record is from RefSeq and is a predicted model, not a curated record. The transcript is spliced from 3 exons. Lineage: Eukaryota; Metazoa; Arthropoda; Insecta; Diptera; Tephritidae.